CUGCACUUAGAAUACCUUGAUAUAUUAUAAAUUGUUAGUGGUUUCCAUAUCUCAACACGUGUCUAAUCUCUUCAAGAUCUUUGUGGAGAAAUUCCAUAUGAUUGGAAGAAAAAGUCGAAAGUAGUAAAGCUAUUAAGAUUCAUCUCAACCAGUUGUGGACAAAACCUGAAUAACAUGAGAGAAGAAUAGGGGUCCUAACUCUUGUCUGGAAAAAUUUUAUCAGACCUUUGAGUAUUCGGGAAUUAUCCCCGUAUGUUCUCCAGAUGAAGUGGAAAUCAGUCGGCCACAUUCAGCAUAGCUGUAUCAAACCACUGGGUUGGUAAAAGUAAAUUUCAAAAGGGAGAAAGACAGAAAGGGUUCAAAGGAACCAUGCAAGUGAAAAAGUAACAAGUUAUACAAUGAAAGCAAUACAUACAAAACUCAGCAAGAUAUAUAAAAAAAUUCAGUAUUAGUUAAUUUUGAAUAAAGAAAAGAACAAUGCAAAAUGACAACAUUAUCAUUUUCAGCUGUGCUAGUAGGGGUAUGAUCUAAAAAGGACAGGAUAUUAAGGGCUUGUUUGAGCCACAAUAUUUUCAAAAAAAUACAUUCUUCAUCAGUGAUUUGACAUCAUUUCAACCACAUAUUCUUCAAUAAAAUAAUAUUACACGCAAAUCUAAAACUUUUUCUUAUUUUUUAACCACACAUUUCUUAUUGAUUUGACAUGAAUAAUGCAUUUUUUUCCCUAGAAUGUGGCUCAAACAUGAGCUAAAUUUGCUAAUAUUGCAACAUAAUACGAAUGGAUAACCAUGAUAACAGCACAAUGUGAAGGCAGCAUAACCUUGACAAAAGUGGAAGCAAAGGCUUGCCUAGUCUCUGUAGAUCAGCAAGGUUCAUACUGCUUCCAUUGCCUUCCUUUUUGGUUGGUGGUCAGGAGAGGAAGUAAAAUCAGUACCAGUUUCAAGGCAUGCAAAUUCAUGUCAAAGAGAUAAGAAUGAUUGAUAUAUAAAUAAAACCUGAAGUAGACGCAAGUCCCGCAAAUGUGAAGAUAUCAUGAGUCUAAAACUCAAUAAAUUGACCAACUAAUGCGCCACAAAACAAACAGCCACGUUGCCAGCUGCUUGAAAACCUGGCGCAACCCGUAAGAUCACAAAUAAUGAGCAUACUAAAACAUCACAAAUAAAUACACUUUAAGGCAAAUUUGCAGGUUAUCAGUUUCAGUUAAUAUCAUUUGUUACAAUAAGAUGACCAUAAACAGUAACAGCACGUGGAAACAGUUGGAUCUCUUUCACUGCACUUCUAUCACUGAACAUACUGUUUUGAGUUACCAUUGGACGAAACAUAUAGAUGUCCAACUCUGGUAAGUUUUAGUUGGAAGUUGGCUCCCUUAAACAUAAAUGCAGAUCAUACUGUCAUUCCUGAUUCUUGUUCUUACUUGAGGCUAUUAUAGCAGCCACCCACAUGAAAUGAUUCAUAAGUCUUUGUCUUCUAGAAAAUAUUAGCCAUUGGUGUAGAUUUUGAAGUCUGGGUUUCAUAGACAAACGCUUUCGAAUUUAGACCCUGUUUGACAACCGUUUUUUGAAAACUCUUUUUUCCUUAUACUCAUUUUCGAUCAUAUAUUCUGACAAUAAAAUAUUCUGCAUGUAAAUCAAAAACUUUUUCUCAUUUUUCAACCACACAUUCUCAAAAAAAUCACUAUUCCAAAACUCAUUUUCUUCAAAAAAUGAUUGUCAAACAGGAGCUUACAUUUCAGAACCAUGAUGCAAUGCUAGAAUCAGGGAAAUUUGUCAUUGUUUGCAUGGUAUUCCUCUACUAGUGACUUGUGUGAAUGACAACCAAAGGUAGAAAUUCCUCAUCUCCAUAAAUUGUAGUCAAAAAGACCUAAUCAUAGCAUAGAGUGCUCCCACAUCAUAUCAAGGAAUAAUAGAUGGCACAAUCAAUUGGCAUAAAGUAGGAAACUGAUGUUCAAUUUAGGGCAAAAAGCCACAGAAUAACAUAAAGACGCAAGAAGAAACCUUCUGCUUGCUUUAAUCCUUUGAUAGAGCCACGGAUAUCGUCAUCUUCGGAAUAUGCAGGACCACCACUCGGUAGAAGUAUG
This 2074-nucleotide long non-coding RNA is filed under the name Olea europaea subsp. europaea. The record is from RNAcentral. Lineage: Eukaryota; Viridiplantae; Streptophyta; Magnoliopsida; Lamiales; Oleaceae.